RNAcentral lists this transfer RNA (79 nucleotides) under Candidatus Zixiibacteriota bacterium. Its description in RNAcentral is "candidate division Zixibacteria bacterium tRNA-Tyr". It matches the Rfam family "tRNA". From Rfam's summary of the family: Transfer RNA (tRNA) molecules are approximately 80 nucleotides in length. Their secondary structure includes four short double-helical elements and three loops (D, anti-codon, and T loops). Lineage: Bacteria; Pseudomonadati; Candidatus Zixiibacteriota. The record is from RNAcentral.
GUUCCCGAGUGGCCAAAGGGAACAGACUGUAAAUCUGUCGGCGAAGCCUUCGGAGGUUCGAAUCCUCCCCCCACCACCA